RNAcentral lists this long non-coding RNA (2050 nucleotides) under Daphnia pulex (common water flea). Its description in RNAcentral is "uncharacterized LOC124208578". The record is from RNAcentral. Lineage: Eukaryota; Metazoa; Arthropoda; Branchiopoda; Diplostraca; Daphniidae.
GUGGGUCAGGGUGAGAAAAAGAAAAAGUCGUAUAAAAGGCGAGAGAAAAGGCUGCGGAACUCAGUCGAACGAGCAUCUCCGACACGGCAACAACUGCUGUGCACUUAUGGUCACCAACUGCAUUUUCCGUCGCAAAUAUAGUUAACUAUGGCGUCAUACUGCUGUUUGGUGUUGUGUCUAGCUGAUGGGCCAGGAAUCAGUCGAUGGCCGGCUGACGACGGCGCCUUUGAGCGGAGUCACUGCCAGCCGCUGCAAGCCCACCGGUGAAUAUUUCGAUGUCGUUGACGCUGUAGACGCUGGCCAGGAGGACGAUUUGGUGGAUGAGCCGCGUUGCAACGAUUCCUAAUUCCCCAAAGUCAACCUGCAGAUAGUUUGGUUAGUUUGCUUUUCCUUCACGCUAGAUGGUCAGGCGGAACAUUACGUAAAACUGUCAUAUGGUGGUGUAGAGGUUGGUUGAGAACGACACGUGUUGCAUCAUUUUGGAGUGGGUACAGUAAUGCAAGGCUUAAGAGGUGAAUCAGGGCAGGGUGAGGAAAAAGUCGUAUAAAAGGAGAGAGAAAAGGCGAUAGAAUUUAGUCGAGUGAGCACCUUUGACACGUCAACAACUGCAGUGCACUUAUUGUCACCAACUGCCUUCUCCGUCGCAAUGAUGGCUAAUUAUGGCGUCGUGCUGCGUUCGGAUGGUUGAUGGAAUGAUGGCUGGGUCGACCACUGGUGUAACGAUGCCUCCUGGAUAUGGCGGAUGCCAAACCGCAAUGCCACCACCUUACUACACAACAUAAAAACACGGAACAGCCGUAUACUACUCCGAGGAUCCCGAGUACCUUGAGUUCCACUCAGUUCCUAGUUACAUUGAGGGUCCAAUUAUUUCACCACCGAAGCGUCUAAGUACUACACCACCAAGGCACCGGUACACGAUUCUGGAUGCUUCCGCAGCUUACUACACCGAGGCUCCACAGUAUCACACCACUAAAGGACCGGAGUACCCAACAUACGCUGCCCCAGCUUAUUACACCGAGGCCUUCAAGUACUUCACUACCAAGGCACCGGAGUACUUCACUACUACCUACGCUGCUCCAGCUUUCUACACCACUACCCACGCUGCUCCAGCUUACUACACCGAAGCAUCCAAGUACUACUCUGCCCCGAACUACACAACUACAACUGAGGCGGCCAAGUGCUACGUAGCCCAGACUUACAACACAGCAGCUGCUCCUUCGUACUACGUUGAACUGUAAUACUACACCGAGGCUCCAGUUUACUAAACCACAACCUACGCUACACCUAGAUAUUACGACGAAUCCCCCAACUACUACUAUAUCGAAAAGGCCACACAUUACACCAUCACGUACACUGCCCCAGUUUACUUCACUAAGUAUGACUCUGCUCCAAGCUACUACCAAACUGAGGCUCCUGUUUACUACACCAAGGCCACCGGGUAUUACACUACAACCAAAUGUUAACUAUGGCGUCGUGCUACUGUUGGAUGUUGUAUCCUUGUCAACGCCGCCUUCUUAUAACACAACAACAUACGCAACAAUCGGUUACUUCACCACCAAUUCCCCGGAGUAUAAUCCACAACUGAUGUCCCGAAUUACUACACCGAGGCCCCAAAGUAUAACACCACCAAGGCACCCGAGUACUUCACCACCGUUACCAUUUCCCGAACUACACCACCAAGGCAGCGGAGUACUACACCACCAAGGCAGCGGAGUACUACACCACCAAGGCAGCGGAGUACUACACCACCAAGGCAGCGGAGUACUACACCACCAAGGCACCCUAGUAUUAUUUCACUACUGAGGCUGCUCCAACCUACUGCAUUGAAGCUGCGAAGUAUUCCACUGCCCUGAGUUACUACACCAUUAAGGCACCUGAAUGUUACAUCACAACCUUCGCUUCUCCAGUUAACUACAGGAAGGCUCUUAAAUACUAGAACCGAAAUUUCUGAUUUAUCUAACUGUGUUCAGCUUUGUCGGUUAUAUCUUAAUAGUUACUAGUCACUUGGAAUCGUUGAUCUUAAAUGAGAAAAUAAAUUGUUUUAUGGUAA